Molecule: long non-coding RNA, 228 nt
Filed under: Elaeis guineensis (African oil palm)
Lineage: Eukaryota; Viridiplantae; Streptophyta; Magnoliopsida; Arecales; Arecaceae
Description: long non-coding RNA (EGUI_LNC068536)
Source: RNAcentral
GUCGAAUCUUGUUUCGCUCGUUUACAAAGAGAAUAGCUUUGACAUUUUGCUUUGAAAUGCCGACGAAUGUACCUGGUUUCUAGAACCCCACAACAAAGGAACGGACCUCCCAAUGCAACACAUUAAUUAACCUUCCUAUCUCUUGACUGUAGGCAAAAAAAAAAAAAGAAAAAGUAAAGGGCACUUUAGUCCCAUUAGGUGAAAAAUUGAAAGAAAAUAGCAGCAGCA